This 445-nucleotide long non-coding RNA is filed under the name Nicotiana benthamiana. RNAcentral describes it as "long non-coding RNA (NBEN_LNC011170)". The record is from RNAcentral. Lineage: Eukaryota; Viridiplantae; Streptophyta; Magnoliopsida; Solanales; Solanaceae.
UUUCAUUUUUCACAUCAUCUAUCUGUUUUCAAAAUUUCCACAAUUUAUAUUUUUUAAAGUUUUUGUUCGUCUCAUACCAAAAAUGUUUGCUUUAAUUAUUAUUAUAUGAUGGAAAUUUAAAGGGUGACAAAUAAAAUGCAGGUCAUAUUAUUAGUAGGGACCAAGCUACAAGUGAUUAUAACAAAGAUGGGACUAAGGAUUCAUGAAAGAGGAGAAGUAGUGAAAGGAGUCCCUGUCGUUCAGCCUGGGGAUCACCUUUUUUGGUUCAAUCGUCCUCGUCUCAUUAAGGAUUCAUGAAAUAGGAGAAGUAGUGAAAGGAGUCCCCGUCGUUCAGCCGGGGAAUCACCUUUUUUGGUUCAAUCGUCCUCGUCUCAUUCUUUAUCUCAUUAAUUUUGUCCUCUUUCAGGUAACCCUUUUUUUUUUAAUCAAUAGUUCAACUUCGUUA